Molecule: non-coding RNA, 71 nt
Organism: Pseudocohnilembus persalinus
Lineage: Eukaryota; Ciliophora; Oligohymenophorea; Philasterida; Pseudocohnilembidae
Source: Rfam
AACUCCGUAUUUUAAUGGUAGAAUACGACCUUAACACGGUCGAGACGGGAGAUCAAUACUCCCCGGAGUUA